GUCUUGGUAGCUCAGCAGGUAGAGCAAUUGACUCUUAAUCAAUGGGUCCAGGGUUCGAAUCCCUGCCAGGACACCA
RNAcentral lists this transfer RNA (76 nucleotides) under Bacteroidales bacterium. RNAcentral describes it as "tRNA-Lys". It matches the Rfam family "tRNA". From Rfam's summary of the family: Transfer RNA (tRNA) molecules are approximately 80 nucleotides in length. Their secondary structure includes four short double-helical elements and three loops (D, anti-codon, and T loops). The record is from RNAcentral. Lineage: Bacteria; Pseudomonadati; Bacteroidota; Bacteroidia; Bacteroidales.